Molecule: ribosomal RNA, 995 nt
Filed under: uncultured bacterium
Lineage: Bacteria
Description: bacterial SSU rRNA
Rfam family: Bacterial small subunit ribosomal RNA
Source: RNAcentral
GGCUAACUCCGUGCCAGCAGCCGCGGUAAUACGGAGGAUGCAAGCGUUUCCGGAUUUAUUGGGUUAAAGGGUGCGCAGGCGGGCUUGUAAUUCAGUGGUGAAAAACUGCGCUUAACGGGUAGAGGGUGCCAUUGAUACUGCGAGUCUUGAGUAUGGUUGAGGUAGGCGGAAUGUGCAGUGUAGCGGUGAAAUGCAUAGAGAUUGCACAGAACACCGAUGCGGAGGCAGCUUACUAAGCCAAUACUGACGCUGAGGCACGAAAGCGUGGGGAGCGAACAGGAUUAGAUACCCUGGUAGUCCACGCCGUAAACGAUGUUCACUCGCUGUUUGCGAUACACAGUAAGCGGCUUAGCGAAAGCAUUAAGUGAACCACCUGGGGAGUACGAUCGCAAGGUUGAAACUCAAAGGAAUUGACGGGGGCCCGCACAAGCGGAGGAACAUGUGGUUUAAUUCGAUGAUACGCGAGGAACCUUACCUGGGCUUAAAUGUAGGCUGCAUUUCCGGGAAACCGGGAUUUCCUUCGGGACUGCUUACAAGGUGCUGCAUGGUUGUCGUCAGCUCGUGCCGUGAGGUGUCGGGUUAAGUCCCAUAACGAGCGCAACCCUUAUCGUUAGUUGCCAACAGGUAAAGCUGGGGACUCUAGCGAGACUGCCACCGUAAGGUGAGAGGAAGGUGGGGAUGACGUCAAAUCAGCACGGCCCUUAUGUCCAGGGCUACACACGUGUUACAAUGGCCGGUACAGAGGGAAGCUACCUGGUGACAGGUUGCCAAUCUUAAAAGCCGGUCUCAGUUCGGAUUGGAGUCUGCAACCCGACUCCAUGAAGUUGGAUUCGCUAGUAAUCGUAUAUCAGCAAUGAUACGGUGAAUACGUUCCCGGGCCUUGUACACACCGCCCGUCAAACCAUGGGAGCUGGGGGUGCCUGAAGUCUGCCACCGAGAGGAGCGGCCUAGGGUAAAACCAGUGACUGGGGUUAAGUCGUAACAAGGUAACCGUA